AAAAAAAGGAAAAAUAGUCAAGGCGUUGCAUGAGUACAAUCAAAGUAUGUUACCGCUUUUUUUUCUUCUUUUUUUCUCUUGUAUGCUUGCUUCU
Molecule: non-coding RNA, 94 nt
Filed under: uncultured eukaryote
Lineage: Eukaryota
Source: RNAcentral